AAUAGAUACCCGGGUAGUCCACGCCGUAAACGAUGAGUGCUAAGUGUUAGAGGGUUUCCGCCCUUUAGUGCUGCAGCUAACGCAUUAAGCACUCCGCCUGGGGAGUACGGCCGCAAGGCUGAAACUCAAAGGAAUUGACGGGGGCCCGCACAAGCGGUGGAGCAUGUGGUUUAAUUCGAAGCAACGCGAAGAACCUUACCAGGUCUUGACAUCCUCUGACAACCCUAGAGAUAGGGCUUUCCCCUUCGGGGGACAGAGUGACAGGUGGUGCAUGGUUGUCGUCAGCUCGUGUCGUGAGAUGUUGGGUUAAGUCCCGCAACGAGCGCAACCCUUGAUCUUAGUUGCCAGCAUUCAGUUGGGCACUCUAAGGUGACUGCCGGUGACAAACCGGAGGAAGGUGGGGAUGACGUCAAAUCAUCAUGCCCCUUAUGACCUGGGCUACACACGUGCUACAAUGGAUGGUACAAAGGGCUGCAAACCUGCAGGUAAGCGAAUCCCAUAAAGCCAUUCUCAGUUCGGAUUGCAGG
This 527-nucleotide ribosomal RNA is filed under the name uncultured bacterium. RNAcentral describes it as "bacterial SSU rRNA". It matches the Rfam family "Bacterial small subunit ribosomal RNA", at positions 777 to 1304 of the family's 1533-position model. The record is from RNAcentral.